AUUGAACGCUGGCGGCAGGCCUAACACAUGCAAGUCGAGCGGAGCGGCGGACGGGUGCGUCAUGCAUAUGAAUAGGACUGGUAGUGGGGGAUACCGAUCGGAAACGGGUGCUAAUACCGCAUCCUAUCAGCGGAGCCUAGGUCGGAUUAGCUAGUUUGUGGGGUAAAGGCCUACCAAGGCGACGAUCCGUAACUGGUCUGAGAUGAUGAGCAGUCACACUGGAACUGAGACACGGUCCAGACUCCUACGGGAGGCAGCAGUGGGGAAUAUUGGACAAUGGGCGAAAGCCUGAUCCAGCCAUGCCGCGUGUGUGAAGAAGGUCUUCGGGUUGUAAAGCACUUUAAGUGGGGAGGCUUUACCAACAGAAGAAGCACCGGCUAACUUCGUGCCAGCAGCCGCGGUAAUAC
Molecule: ribosomal RNA, 407 nt
Filed under: uncultured bacterium
Lineage: Bacteria
Description: partial 16S ribosomal RNA
Rfam family: Bacterial small subunit ribosomal RNA
Source: RNAcentral